RNAcentral lists this ribosomal RNA (497 nucleotides) under uncultured bacterium. RNAcentral describes it as "partial 16S ribosomal RNA". It matches the Rfam family "Bacterial small subunit ribosomal RNA", at positions 28 to 507 of the family's 1533-position model. The record is from RNAcentral.
GAUGAACGCUGGCGGCGUGCCUAAUACAUGCAAGUCGAGCGAACGGACGAGAAGCUUGCUUCUCUGAUGUUAGCGGCGGACGGGUGAGUAACACGUGGAUAACCUACCUAUAAGACUGGGAUAACUUCGGGAAGCCGUAGCUAAUACCGGAUAAUAUUUUGAACCGCAUGGUUCAAAAGUGAAAGACGGUCUUGCUGUCACUUAUAGAUGGAUCCGCGCUGCAUUAGCUAGUUGGUAAGGUAACGGCUUACCAAGGCAACGAUGCAUAGCCGACCUGAGAGGGUGAUCGGCCACACUGGAACUGAGACACGGUCCAGACUCCUACGGGAGGCAGCAGUAGGGAAUCUUCCGCAAUGGGCGAAAGCCUGACGGAGCAACGACGCGUGAGUGAUGAAGGUCUUCGGAUCGUAAAACUCUGUUAUUAGGGAAGAACAUAUGUGUAAGUAACUGUGCACAUCUUGACGGUACCUAAUCAGAAAGCCACGGCUAACUACGUG